RNAcentral lists this ribosomal RNA (537 nucleotides) under uncultured Mycobacterium sp. RNAcentral describes it as "bacterial SSU rRNA". It matches the Rfam family "Bacterial small subunit ribosomal RNA", at positions 54 to 606 of the family's 1533-position model. Lineage: Bacteria; Bacillati; Actinomycetota; Actinomycetes; Mycobacteriales; Mycobacteriaceae. The record is from RNAcentral.
CAUGCAAGUCGAACGGAAAGGCCCUUUCGGGGGUACUCGAGUGGCGAACGGGUGAGUAACACGUGGGUGAUCUGCCCUGCACUUUGGGAUAAGCCUGGGAAACUGGGUCUAAUACCGGAUAGGACUACGCGAUGCAUGUCGUGUGGUGGAAAGCUUUUGCGGUGUGGGAUGGGCCCGCGGCCUAUCAGCUUGUUGGUGGGGUGAUGGCCUACCAAGGCGACGACGGGUAGCCGGCCUGAGAGGGUGACCGGCCACACUGGGACUGAGAUACGGCCCAGACUCCUACGGGAGGCAGCAGUGGGGGAUAUUGCACAAUGGGCGCAAGCCUGAUGCAGCGACGCCGCGUGAGGGAUGACGGCCUUCGGGUUGUAAACCUCUUUCAGCUCCGACGAAGCGCAAGUGACGGUAGGAGUAGAAGAAGGACCGGCCAACUACGUGCCAGCAGCCGCGGUAAUACGUAGGGUCCGAGCGUUGUCCGGAAUUACUGGGCGUAAAGAGCUCGUAGGUGGUUUGUCGCGUUGUUCGUGAAAACUCACA